UUAAAGUUAGUUAGGGUAGGGGGAUCUCGCCGAUAGGGAGGGGAAACUACGGGGAACGGGUGGAUAAUACCGCAUAAUGUCUACGGACCAAAGCAGGGGCUCUUCGGACCUUGCACUAUCGGAUGAACCCAUAUGGGAUUAGCUAGUAGGUGGGGUAAAGGCUCACCUAGGCGACGAUCUCUAGCUGGUCUGAGAGGAUGAUCAGCCACACUGGGACUGAGACACGGCCCAG
This 232-nucleotide ribosomal RNA is filed under the name uncultured bacterium. RNAcentral's name for it is "partial 16S ribosomal RNA". It matches the Rfam family "Bacterial small subunit ribosomal RNA", at positions 106 to 334 of the family's 1533-position model. The record is from RNAcentral.